This 496-nucleotide ribosomal RNA is filed under the name uncultured bacterium. Its description in RNAcentral is "partial 16S ribosomal RNA". It matches the Rfam family "Bacterial small subunit ribosomal RNA", at positions 28 to 507 of the family's 1533-position model. The record is from RNAcentral.
GAUGAACGCUGGCGGCGUGCCUAAUACAUGCAAGUCGAGCGAACAGACGAGGAGCUUGCUCCUCUGACGUUAGCGGCGGACGGGUGAGUAACACGUGGAUAACCUACCUAUAAGACUGGGAUAACUUCGGGAAACCGGAGCUAAUACCGGAUAAUAUAUUGAACCGCAUGGUUCAAUAGUGAAAGACGGUUUUGCUGUCACUUAUAGAUGGAUCCGCGCCGCAUUAGCUAGUUGGUAAGGUAACGGCUUACCAAGGCAACGAUGCGUAGCCGACUGAGAGGGUGAUCGGCCACACUGGAACUGAGACACGGUCCAGACUCCUACGGGAGGCAGCAGUAGGGAAUCUUCCGCAAUGGGCGAAAGCCUGACGGAGCAACGCCGCGUGAGUGAUGAAGGUCUUCGGAUCGUAAAACUCUGUUAUUAGGGAAGAACAAAUGUGUAAGUAACUAUGCACGUCUUGACGGUACCUAAUCAGAAAGCCACGGCUAACUACGUG